Molecule: long non-coding RNA, 630 nt
Organism: Rhipicephalus sanguineus (brown dog tick)
Lineage: Eukaryota; Metazoa; Arthropoda; Arachnida; Ixodida; Ixodidae
Exons: 2
Source: RefSeq, a predicted model, not a curated record
UUCAAAGUGCGCAGUUCGCUUGUUUUGUUUACGAAGAUGGCAGACGAUCCGGCGGCUGGACCCUCGCGUGAACGACGUCUUUCUGGCGAUUCUGUCGCAUCUGCAAUUGAUUAUUCUGCUGUUUCUAGCAGCAGUGACUGAGGAUAAUAUCGGAUCGUCGGAUUUUAGUUCUGACGAUGGAGAUUCGCAAAACCAGCCCAGAUCGUCGUCAGCUGUUCGGCGUGUCUCUACAGUAUAUGGUGGAGGUUUGCUGCCAUCAGCCCAGCAGAGAGUGGCGUUUAGCCCGAGAACCAAGCCUUAACCUCGGAAUGGUGCUGCGCAGUGAAGCAAAGCGGCUCACAAAAGCGAUCGACGUUUUUGUGAUGUUUUUUCACACUGGAGGUAGUAAAUAGGAUUUGUGUGAACACAAAUAAAUAUGCGUGGACGCAAAUCCUGAAGAAGCAGUCCUAUGCCGAGGCUGAUGGUUCGUAGAAAGAGGUGACGGCCGCAGAGAUGAUGAAAUUCAUUGGCCUGCUGAUCAAUAUGGGCAUCGUCGAGCUGCCACGGCUACAUCUCCACUGGAGCAGAGGCUCCUUGUUUCCGGGUUUCGUUCCUCCCAAAAUAAUGUCGAGAACGCGUUUUUUUUUUUUU